RNAcentral lists this ribosomal RNA (116 nucleotides) under uncultured bacterium. RNAcentral describes it as "partial 16S ribosomal RNA". It matches the Rfam family "Bacterial small subunit ribosomal RNA", at positions 1386 to 1501 of the family's 1533-position model. The record is from RNAcentral.
CACACCGCCCGUCACACCAUGGGAGUGGGUUUCACCAGAAGCAGGUAGCCUAACCGCAAGGAGGGCGCCUACCACGGUGAGAUUCAUGACUGGGGUGAAGUCGUAACAAGGUACCC